RNAcentral lists this ribosomal RNA (372 nucleotides) under uncultured organism. RNAcentral's name for it is "partial 16S ribosomal RNA". It matches the Rfam family "Bacterial small subunit ribosomal RNA", at positions 527 to 896 of the family's 1533-position model. The record is from RNAcentral.
GUAGGAUCCGAGCGUUAUCCGAAUUUACUGGGCGUAAAGCGCGUGUAGGCGGCCGGGUAAGUUGGACGUGAAAGCUCCUGGCUCAACUAGGAGAGGUCGUUCAAAACUGCCUGGCUAGAGGGCGACAGAGGGAGGUGGAAUUCCCGGUGUAGUGGUGAAAUGCGUAGAUAUCGGGAGGAACACCAGUGGCGAAGGCGGCCUCCUGGGUCGCACCCGACGCUCAGACGCGAAAGCUAGGGGAGCGAACGGGAUUAGAUACCCCGGGUAGUCCUAGCUGUAAACGAUGUGGACUUGGCGUUGGUGGGGUCAAAUCCAUCAGUGCCGUAGCUAACGCGAUAAGUCCACCGCCUGGGGACUACGGUCGCAAGGCUA